This 1548-nucleotide ribosomal RNA is filed under the name Enterococcus hirae. RNAcentral's name for it is "bacterial SSU rRNA". It matches the Rfam family "Bacterial small subunit ribosomal RNA". The record is from RNAcentral. Lineage: Bacteria; Bacillati; Bacillota; Bacilli; Lactobacillales; Enterococcaceae.
AGAGUUUGAUCCUGGCUCAGGACGAACGCUGGCGGCGUGCCUAAUACAUGCAAGUCGAACGCUUCUUUUUCCACCGGAGCUUGCUCCACCGGAAAAAGAGGAGUGGCGAACGGGUGAGUAACACGUGGGUAACCUGCCCAUCAGAAGGGGAUAACACUUGGAAACAGGUGCUAAUACCGUAUAACAAUCGAAACCGCAUGGUUUUGAUUUGAAAGGCGCUUUCGGGUGUCGCUGAUGGAUGGACCCGCGGUGCAUUAGCUAGUUGGUGAGGUAAAGGCUCACCAAGGCGACGAUGCAUAGCCGACCUGAGAGGGUGAUCGGCCACAUUGGGACUGAGACACGGCCCAAACUCCUACGGGAGGCAGCAGUAGGGAAUCUUCGGCAAUGGACGAAAGUCUGACCGAGCAACGCCGCGUGAGUGAAGAAGGUUUUCGGAUCGUAAAACUCUGUUGUUAGAGAAGAACAAGGAUGAGAGUAACUGUUCAUCCCUUGACGGUAUCUAACCAGAAAGCCACGGCUAACUACGUGCCAGCAGCCGCGGUAAUACGUAGGUGGCAAGCGUUGUCCGGAUUUAUUGGGCGUAAAGCGAGCGCAGGCGGUUUCUUAAGUCUGAUGUGAAAGCCCCCGGCUCAACCGGGGAGGGUCAUUGGAAACUGGGAGACUUGAGUGCAGAAGAGGAGAGUGGAAUUCCAUGUGUAGCGGUGAAAUGCGUAGAUAUAUGGAGGAACACCAGUGGCGAAGGCGGCUCUCUGGUCUGUAACUGACGCUGAGGCUCGAAAGCGUGGGGAGCAAACAGGAUUAGAUACCCUGGUAGUCCACGCCGUAAACGAUGAGUGCUAAGUGUUGGAGGGUUUCCGCCCUUCAGUGCUGCAGCUAACGCAUUAAGCACUCCGCCUGGGGAGUACGACCGCAAGGUUGAAACUCAAAGGAAUUGACGGGGGCCCGCACAAGCGGUGGAGCAUGUGGUUUAAUUCGAAGCAACGCGAAGAACCUUACCAGGUCUUGACAUCCUUUGACCACUCUAGAGAUAGAGCUUCCCCUUCGGGGGCAAAGUGACAGGUGGUGCAUGGUUGUCGUCAGCUCGUGUCGUGAGAUGUUGGGUUAAGUCCCGCAACGAGCGCAACCCUUAUUGUUAGUUGCCAUCAUUUAGUUGGGCACUCUAGCAAGACUGCCGGUGACAAACCGGAGGAAGGUGGGGAUGACGUCAAAUCAUCAUGCCCCUUAUGACCUGGGCUACACACGUGCUACAAUGGGAAGUACAACGAGUCGCAAAGUCGCGAGGCUAAGCUAAUCUCUUAAAGCUUCUCUCAGUUCGGAUUGUAGGCUGCAACUCGCCUACAUGAAGCCGGAAUCGCUAGUAAUCGCGGAUCAGCACGCCGCGGUGAAUACGUUCCCGGGCCUUGUACACACCGCCCGUCACACCACGAGAGUUUGUAACACCCGAAGUCGGUGAGGUAACCUUUUGGAGCCAGCCGCCUAAGGUGGGAUAGAUGAUUGGGGUGAAGUCGUAACAAGGUAGCCGUAUCGGAAGGUGCGGCUGGAUCACCU